AUGACAAUUAGAUAUUUUGUGUUUAAAAACCAGCCAAUCCCAUUUUAUAUGAAGCGAGGCAAUGUAUAAAGAGACCAAUGCGCUUUCGGCCUCUAUUUUUCUCUCCAUUUAGACAAAUCAGUUUGUUAAUUUUCAUUUUAUGAUCUAAAAUUUUGAAUGAAACAUCAUUUUAAUGACAAAGCAUAUCAGGAUGAAUUAUUGCUUCUUUGAUUUCUUUGUUUCAAUUCUACAGUAUAUAAUUUAUAAUCUUAUCCCCUCCCUUCUUACAUUGAGUAGAGGUUGGUGUGAACAAUUUCAUCCAUGAAAAGGAGUUUCGUACAGGAGUAUUGUAUAUUUGAGGAUCCUACCACA
This 351-nucleotide unclassified non-coding RNA is filed under the name Hevea brasiliensis (rubber tree). The record is from RNAcentral. Lineage: Eukaryota; Viridiplantae; Streptophyta; Magnoliopsida; Malpighiales; Euphorbiaceae.